AGCCUGCAUAUAUACGUAAUAAAAGAUAAAAAUGUAAAAGAUAAAAGAUAAAAG
This 54-nucleotide non-coding RNA is filed under the name Palpitomonas bilix. The record is from RNAcentral.